CGAGUCGGCUGGGCGAUCGCGGGCAUGGCAACAUGAUCGAGGAACGUCCGGGCUCCAGAGGGCAGGGUGGUUGCUAACGGCAACCCGGGGUGACCCGCGGGACAGUGCCACAGAGAACAGACCGCCGGACGGCUUCGGCCGCUCGGUAAGGGUGAAACGGUGGUGUAAGAGACCACCAGCGUCGCGGGUGACCGGGACGGCUAGGUAAACCCCACCCGGAGCAAGGUCGAAAGGGUCUGCACCACCUAGGUGGCGCGACCUGCGCAGGCGUUUUCAGGGCUGCCCGCCCGAGCCUGCGGGUGGACCGCACGAGCCUGCCGGCGACGGCAGGCCCAGAUGGAUGAUCGCCCAUCGGGAUCGCCGUAAGGCACCCAGGGACAGAACCCGGCGUACAGGCCGACUCGUCCG
RNAcentral lists this RNase P RNA (408 nucleotides) under Geodermatophilaceae bacterium. RNAcentral describes it as "RNase P RNA component class A". It matches the Rfam family "Bacterial RNase P class A". Rfam says of the family: Ribonuclease P (RNase P) is a ubiquitous endoribonuclease, found in archaea, bacteria and eukarya as well as chloroplasts and mitochondria. Its best characterised activity is the generation of mature 5'-ends of tRNAs by cleaving the 5'-leader elements of precursor-tRNAs. Lineage: Bacteria; Bacillati; Actinomycetota; Actinomycetes; Geodermatophilales; Geodermatophilaceae. The record is from RNAcentral.